Molecule: non-coding RNA, 162 nt
Organism: Paramuricea clavata
Lineage: Eukaryota; Metazoa; Cnidaria; Anthozoa; Malacalcyonacea; Plexauridae
Source: the annotation of a GenBank genome assembly
UUUGGUACGGCACGGAUAAAAUUGGUACCCGUACCACUUUCUUGGUUCUUGGACUACCUAUUUAUCAAAAAUUAAGCGUAGUGUAAACGGGGCUUAGCUAAAUAGGUAGUCAAAGAACCAAAAAAGUGGUACGGGUACCAAUUUUAUCCGUGCCGUACCAAA